UAAGGAAUAUUGGACAAUGGAGGCAACUCUGAUCCAGCCAUGCCGCGUGAAGGAAUAAGGCCCUAUGGGUUGUAAACUUCUUUUAGACGGGACAAAACCCCUUUACGUGUAAAGGGUUGAUGGUACUGUCAGAAUAAGCAUCGGCUAACUUCGUGCCAGCAGCCGCGGUAAUACGAAGGAUGCAAGCGUUAUCCGGAAUUAUUGGGUUUAAAGGGUGCGUAGGCGGACUAAUAAGCCAGUGGUGAAAGCCUGCAGCUUAACUGCAGAAUUGCCAUUGAUACUGUUAGUCUUGAGUACAGUUGAGGUAGGCGGAAUGUGUCAUGUAGCGGUGAAAUGCUUAGAUAUGACACAGAACACCGAUUGCGAAGGCAGCUUGCUAAGCUGUAACUGACGCUGAGGCACGAAAGCGUGGGGAGCAAACA
Molecule: ribosomal RNA, 422 nt
Filed under: uncultured bacterium
Lineage: Bacteria
Description: bacterial SSU rRNA
Rfam family: Bacterial small subunit ribosomal RNA
Source: RNAcentral